Molecule: ribosomal RNA, 1478 nt
Filed under: Salmonella enterica subsp. enterica
Lineage: Bacteria; Pseudomonadati; Pseudomonadota; Gammaproteobacteria; Enterobacterales; Enterobacteriaceae
Description: bacterial SSU rRNA
Rfam family: Bacterial small subunit ribosomal RNA
Source: RNAcentral
UUAACAGCGAGUUUGAUCGGCGGCUCAGAUUGAACGCUGGCGGCAGGCCUAACACAUGCAAGUCGAACGGUAACAGGAAGCAGCUUGCUGCUUUUGCUGACGAGUGGCGGACGGCGAGUACGUCUGAAAACUGCCUGAUGGAGGGGGGAUAACUACUGAAACGGUGGCUAAUACCGCAUAACGUCGCAAGACCAAAGAGGGGGACCUUCGGGCCUUCUUGCCAUCAGAUGUGCCCAGAUGGGAUUAGCUGUUGGUGAGGUAACGGCUCACCAUGACGAUCCCUACUGGUCUGAGGAUGACCAGCCACACUGAACUGAGACAUUCGGUCCAGACCCUACGGAGGCAGCAGUGGGGAAUAUUGCACAAUGGGCGCAAGCCUGAUGCAGCCAUGCCGCGCGUAUGAAGAAGGCCUGUAAAGUACUUUCAGCGGGAGGAAGGCGGUUGUGGUUAAUAACCGCAGCACUGACGUUACCCGCAGAAGAAGCACCAUAAUCCCGUGCCAGCAGCCGCGGUAAUACGGAGGGUGCAAGCGUUAAUCGGAAUUACUACGUAAAGCGCACGCGGCAGGCGGUCUGUCGUCGGAUGUGAAAUCCCCGGGCUCAACCCGAACCGCAUUCGAAACUGGCAGGCUUGAGUCUUGUAGAGGGGGUGAAUCUGUGUGUAGCGGUGAAAUGCGUAGAGAUCUGAGGAAUACCGGUGGCGAAGGCGGCCCCUCGACAAAGACCGACGCUCAGGUGCGAAAAGCGUGAGCAAACAGGAUUAGAUACCCCGGUAGUCCACGCCGUAAACGAUGUCUACUUGAGGUUGUGCCUGAGGCGUGGCUUCCGGAGCUAACGCAAGUUACAGACCGCCCGGGGAGUACGGCCGCAAGGUUAAAACUCAAAUGAAUUGACGGGGCCCGCAAUGCUGGUGGAGCAUGUGGUUUACCCGAUGCAACGCGAAGAACCCUUUACCGGUCUUGACAUCCACGGAAGUUUUCAGAGAUGAGAAUGUGCCUCGGGAACCGUGAGACAGGUGCUACGGCUGUCGUCAGCUCGUGCUGAAAUGUUAGUUAAGUCCCAACGAGCGCAACCCUUAUCCUUUGUUGCCAGCGAUUAGGUCGGGAACUCAAAGGAGACUGCCAGUGAUAAACUGAGGAAGGUGGGGAUGACGUCAACGCACCCUGCCCACCGUACACACGUGCCACAAUGGCGCAUACAAAGAGAAGCGACCUCGCGAGCAAGCGGACCUCAUAAAGUGCGUCAGUCCGAUUGAGUUCGCAACUCGACUCCAUGAAGUCGGAAUCGCUAGUAAUCAGAUCAGAAUGCCACGCAGAAUACGUUCCCGGCCUUGUACACACCGCCCGCUCACAAUCUCAUGGAGUGGCUGCAAAGAAGUAGGUAGCUUAACCGGGAGGGCGCUACCACUUUGUGAUUCAUGACUGGGGUGAAGUCGCACAAGGUAACCGUAGGGGAACCUGCGGUUGAUCACCUUACCUU